This is a long non-coding RNA of Mangifera indica (mango), 703 nucleotides long. RefSeq lists it as uncharacterized. Lineage: Eukaryota; Viridiplantae; Streptophyta; Magnoliopsida; Sapindales; Anacardiaceae. The record is from RefSeq and is a predicted model, not a curated record. The transcript is spliced from 2 exons.
UAACAUUACUAAAAAAAGUUUGUAUUGUAGGAAUAUUGUCUAUUGGCUCUCCUUGGAACUAGGGUGGUACUGUUACCACAAUCCAAAUUUACUCAAAGGCUUGGACCAAUCUUGUAGAAACCAACAGAAGAAAGAAACGGUAAGAGCUUCAUUGCUUUAUAUAUGCAAAGCCAGCCUGGGAAUUUUUUUCUUAGAGAAAGUGAACGAAAUGCCUUCUUUAAUUACCCUUCUUGGGAAUCACCCAUCACUGAAUAGAAAUUUCUCAUAGAAAUAUAUAAUUUGAGAAAUUCAGUAUGUUUAUUCCUAAAGGAGCUUCAUUUAUUGACCAAUGUUGGAAUGAAGCUCCUUUCUGCAUUUUCCGUAAACAACAUUAGUUGAGUGUUUCCAUUUUCUCGGCUGAACUCAUUCUUCCCUUGCCAAUAAGGUGGUUCUUUGCGUUCUCCAAGUGUAGUGACCGGUCUCACAAUUACUAUACCAAUCAUUAGUGACCAAAUUCUUCAACUGAAGGGGCAACCAUAUCUCCCGGAACCCAAUUCAUUCACUGAGUUCAUCUGUUUAGAGAUCUUCACAUGUGAAACAUUCCUUUCCCAUUUCUGGGUUUCUUUGUUUGAACUGGAUGUCAGACCUAAUGGUCAUCAACAAACAUAAAUACACUUCAAAACAGUCUGAUAUUAACACCCUUCAAUUGGAGGAGGCUUUUAGA